This is a long non-coding RNA of Trichomycterus rosablanca, 1143 nucleotides long. RefSeq lists it as uncharacterized. The transcript has 3 exons. NCBI's taxonomy places the organism in Eukaryota, Metazoa, Chordata, Actinopteri, Siluriformes, Trichomycteridae. The record is from RefSeq and is a predicted model, not a curated record.
GGUACAUGUCGAAACAAAUGCUUUGUAUUUCAUUGGUUUAACAGCCUCAUUUCACUGCUUACAGCGCUACCACUGGCCAAUCGGAGAAGGUCCGCCCUCUAAAUGCUAGUCUGUGAUUGGGUGGUUGAAUUUCGCCCGCCCUCUCUGUUUUGUAAACACCGCUACCUGAGUCAAUCACUCAGCUCUCAUGAUCAGGAACGCGGUGAAAAUGCCAAAAAGUAAACUUUUGAGGCAGCGAUGAACGGACCUAAAUAUGAAAAGACACAACAUUUAAUGCUACCACUGGUUGAAAGGAGUAUUUCUGCUUCAUUGAUCACAAUAAAGGUUUCACCAUUGAGGCCCAACCGGGCCACUCAAGGAAUGGCUUUAGUUUCAUGUCUAGCAAGGAUCGAGCAAGUUUUUUAUCCAAAAUCUCUCUGUAAUGUAAACCAUUUGUUAUUUAUUGUUUCAUCCAUCCAGUCCAGAUUGUCAGUCCCUACUGCUAAAAUGAUCCCCAUAAUCUGGAUCAUGAUGGCUCAGCAGGUUGGUACAUGUCCAUAGAUUUUUUUUUUCUGGCUACUUUGGUUUCCUCCCAAAUUGCUUAAGCAUGCCAGUUGGUGCCCUGUUAAUGGUUUGUAUCCAUAAUACAAUAGCACAUUCCCUCCCGUAGCCUUCGCUCUUCUGAGGCUAACCUACUGUCCAUACCCUCUAGGACCAAGCACCGGACCUGGGGUGACAGGGCCUUUUCCAUAGCUGCUCCAUCUUUAUGGAAUGCUCUCCCCAAACACCUACGAGAUUGUCCUGACCUGUCCAAAUUCAAGUCACUUCUCAAAACUCAUCUAUUCAAUAUGGCAUUUAACUUGUAACAACACGAAAUAAAUGCUUUUAUUUUUGCUAUUCUUUUUAAUAGUUUUUAUACUUAGAUCACGACAGAAAUGUGAAGUCCUAGAUCCUAAAACUUGUAAAGUUUUCAGUUUCCUGAUUGCAUGUAAAUCUGUCCUGUUUCUGUCUAAUUUUAAGAAAUUGUUCUAUAUUUGUUGUUCUCUCUCAUAAUUUAGCUAAUUUUUAAUGAACUGUCUUAUGCUGCUCUCUUUGUUUUUAUCUUAAUUAUUCUUGAUGUUGAUGUACUAUUUUGAUUUUGUACUAUGAUUUGUAUGGUGUAUG